Molecule: ribosomal RNA, 315 nt
Filed under: uncultured bacterium
Lineage: Bacteria
Description: bacterial SSU rRNA
Rfam family: Bacterial small subunit ribosomal RNA
Source: RNAcentral
GGCGAACGCUGGCGGCGUGCCUAACACAUGCAAGUCGAACGGAGUUAAUUGGAAGCUUGCUUUUGAUUAACUUAGUGGCGGACGGGUGAGUAACGCGUGAGUAACCUGCCUCUCAGAGGGGAAUAACAAUCUGAAAAGAUUGCUAAUACCGCAUAACGUACAGUUGUCGCAUGGCAGCAGUACCAAAGGAGCAAUCCGCUGAGAGAUGGACUCGCGUCCGAUUAACUAGUUGGUGAGGUAAUGGCUCACCAAGGUGACGAUCGGUAGCCGGACUGAGAGGUUGAACGGCCACAUUGGGACUGAGACACGGCCCAG